Molecule: ribosomal RNA, 497 nt
Filed under: uncultured bacterium
Lineage: Bacteria
Description: partial 16S ribosomal RNA
Rfam family: Bacterial small subunit ribosomal RNA
Source: RNAcentral
GAUGAACGCUGGCGGCGUGCCUAAUACAUGCAAGUCGAGCGAACAGACGAGGAGCUUGCUCCUCUGACGUUAGCGGCGGACGGGUGAGUAACACGUGGAUCACCUACCUAUAAGACUGGGAUAACUUCGGGAAACCGGAGCUAAUACCGGAUAAUAUAUUGAACCGCAUGGUUCAAUAGUGAAAGACGGUUUUGCUGUCACUUAUAGAUGGAUCCGCGCCGCAUUAGCUAGUUGGUAAGGUAACGGCUUACCAAGGCAACGAUGCGUAGCCGACCUGAGAGGGUGAUCGGCCACACUGGAACUGAGACACGGUCCAGACUCCUACGGGAGGCAGCAGUAGGGAAUCUUCCGCAAUGGGCGAAAGCCUGACGGAGCAACGCCGCGUGAGUGAUGAAGGUCUUCGGAUCGUAAAACUCUGUUAUUAGGGAAGAACAAAUGUGUGAGUAACUAUGCACGUCUUGACGGUACCUAAUCAGAAAGCCACGGCUAACUACGUG